GACUCGGGAUGCGAUACUUAUCACCUAUGUUCAUUAUAAACCAUUCUUGACUUGCAAUCUAAGAUUGGUUUAGAUCUGUUCUGUCCGUUCUCUCGCAUCGAAUCACCACUCCUCAGCCGCCGUGCUACCGCUACCAUAAUUUCGCCAGGAAUCAGAUUACCGUUGACCGGUUAUCCCCGCCAUUGAAGGUUGUGUCGUGUGCACCGUACUAUCCCUUCGUUUUCGUAUGAUCUAUAUCCAUUCUAACCAGCCACCUCCGCACAAGUUUAGCCAACACCAUCCCAUUAGAUUUGCUCUUCUCCAUCUAAUUAGUUGAGGUAAUUUGGGAAGCGUGGGGAAUAAGUGAAGAGUGUAUUGAAGAUAAAGAUUUUUUUUUUUAUUUCG
Molecule: long non-coding RNA, 384 nt
Filed under: Helianthus annuus (common sunflower)
Lineage: Eukaryota; Viridiplantae; Streptophyta; Magnoliopsida; Asterales; Asteraceae
Description: sRNA HanXRQr2_Chr03g0124141
Source: RNAcentral